Molecule: small nuclear RNA, 23 nt
Filed under: Arabidopsis thaliana (thale cress)
Lineage: Eukaryota; Viridiplantae; Streptophyta; Magnoliopsida; Brassicales; Brassicaceae
Description: snRNA_19193
Source: RNAcentral
GUCCCAGUUCCGAACCCGUCGGC